GGGCCGGUAGUUCAGUCUGGAAUGAAUGCCGCCCUCGCACGGCGGAGGUCGCGGGUUCAAAUCCCGCCCGGUCCACCA
RNAcentral lists this transfer RNA (78 nucleotides) under Candidatus Bathyarchaeota archaeon. RNAcentral's name for it is "tRNA-Ala". It matches the Rfam family "tRNA". Rfam says of the family: Transfer RNA (tRNA) molecules are approximately 80 nucleotides in length. Their secondary structure includes four short double-helical elements and three loops (D, anti-codon, and T loops). The record is from RNAcentral. RNAcentral also lists the same sequence under 1 other name. Lineage: Archaea; Thermoproteati; Candidatus Bathyarchaeota.